This 982-nucleotide long non-coding RNA is filed under the name Setaria viridis. Its description in RNAcentral is "long non-coding RNA (SVIR_LNC000316)". Lineage: Eukaryota; Viridiplantae; Streptophyta; Magnoliopsida; Poales; Poaceae. The record is from RNAcentral.
CCGGACGAGGCGGAGAUCCUCCCUCGGAGGGUCGGGUGCGUCCGACCCCAAACCCUAGGGGUCGAGCGAGGCGGAGAUCCUCCCUUAGGGGGUCGGGCGCGUCCGAUCCCAAGCCUCAGGGGUCGGGCGAGGCGGAGAUCCUCCCUUGGGGGUCGGGCGCGUCCGAUCCCAAGCCUCAAGGGUCGGGCGAGGCGGAACUCCAAGGAUCAAUCGGCCGAUCCUCGACUGUAGCAUCAUUUGGCCGAUCCUUGACUGUAGCACCAAUCGGCCAAUUUCCAAUCGUCGCCCUUGUAUCUCGCCGCAUCUUCUCUUCUCCCAAUGCCGAUUUUACACGUGUCAAAAUCUGGCGUCAACACAUGCCCCCCAGUUUCGGAGUAAAACAUAGUCUUUACUUCGAAAUUCUUUUCAACUUCCCAUCCGAAACAGACGCCACGAAAACAUCCUUCCGUUUCGCGGUCUCCAACCUGUUGAUUGCAAUCUUUUCGAAACGGGCGCCCACGACAACCACUACUCCCGAAAAACUUGAAACGCCGGCGCGGUAAAAAUUCCACUUUUACCCCUUCUCAGACCGUCUUUAAAUAUCAGCACAUCCCCGUACUCCUUACGAGCUCACGUCCUUCUUCUCCAGCGCACAGGCUUUCUUCUUCCUCCAACACUUUCCUCAAUCCUCCAAUUCUCCAGCGCCUCCUUCCCUUCGCAUUCUCUCCUACUUUUCCAAUGGCAGCACCUUCGGGCACCUCGCAAACGCGCGAAGCUCCAGAAAUGGCGCCUUCGGCGGAGAUUCCAGUAGCGACAACGGUGACUCCAUUGACGGAAGAAGGAGCUCCAUCGGCGAAAGCUGAAGCCUCAUCCGAGAUCCCAUUGGCGGCUUCAUCAUCUGCAGCUGCACCGGCGACUCCGCCGAUUACGAGGAGCUUCAUCCCGGAGGUUAUUACCGAAACCUUCCGUUAUCAGUAGUGCAUUUACCUUAGAUCUAUUUCUU